UACAGAGGUCCCAAGCGUUGUUCGGAUUCAUUGGGCGUAAAGGGUGCGUAGGCGGUGCCGUAAGUCGGGUGUGAAAUCCCGGGGCUCAACCCCGGAACUGCACUCGAUACUGCGGUGCUCGAGGACUGGAGAGGAGACUGGAAUUCACGGUGUAGCAGUGAAAUGCGUAGAUAUCGUGAGGAAGGCCAGUGGCGAAGGCGGGUCUCUGGACAGUUCCUGACGCUGAGGCACGAAGGCUGGGGGAGCAAACGGG
RNAcentral lists this ribosomal RNA (253 nucleotides) under uncultured bacterium. RNAcentral describes it as "partial 16S ribosomal RNA". It matches the Rfam family "Bacterial small subunit ribosomal RNA", at positions 524 to 776 of the family's 1533-position model. The record is from RNAcentral.